This 930-nucleotide long non-coding RNA is filed under the name Daphnia pulicaria. RNAcentral's name for it is "uncharacterized LOC124328412". The record is from RNAcentral. Lineage: Eukaryota; Metazoa; Arthropoda; Branchiopoda; Diplostraca; Daphniidae.
CCAACACACCAAUUAUGUAUUUAAGGAAAAACUUUUUACUGUUUCUGCUCAUCAUAUCAAUUUCCAUUAAUAAUUCAGUUGGUAGAAAACAUCAUCUUGAUCUAAAGGAUGAGACUCGAAAAAGCAUACCUGUUAGUAUGUUCGGAUUUCUUCGAGGUGGCAUCUUGAAUGUUACAGUAUCUAACUUGGCAAUCUCGAAACAAGCACAAGAAACAUCAGGACUGGGGUUUAGCUUGGAUAGGACACUUAGUGAUGCUGCAAACCCAUACUUAGAUAGCAAACGGGAUAUCUGUAGUUCAAGAUUGGAAAUAAAUGAAGAACCAGAUCACACAGCUGUUGCUCGAUUUGAAUUUGAUUUCAAAGACAAAAUAUUUAAAGUUCGGUGCUCCAGCAGGUUUAAUUUCAUUGGCAACAUUAUUACUGUGGAUGACCCAAGAAAUUAAAAGAAAUUCAGUGGCUGAGAAACUUAGUGAUUCUAGUUUGUUCAGUCGAAAUGCUAGAACCAAAAGAAACAUACUUAAUGAAUCUCUAGAUGUUGCUGAGGCUUCAAAUGUUAGUGUUACUUGCAACACACUGAAAAUUCCACUUUCUUCUUCAGAUGGAAAUUCCUUUUCAACAAAUUUCACAGUAAACAUAAGACAUUCAGAAGAAGAAGGCAUGUACUUAACCUUUAUUUCCAUCGCUGUUUCAAUGACGAAAUAAUUCCCAUUAACCUAACCAUUGAGGUUACCGAAACCAACGGUGAUAUAAACUACCUAUCAGCUGAAACGGCAUGGAACUUUUUGCUGUUCCUCUUACAAAAGUAACUGGAUCGCGUUCGACGGCCGAUCGUUUCGCUUUCGGAAAAACCGAUGGGAGGAAAGGUGGAGCCGGCCAGCAGAAAGGAAAGAUUCAGCAUCGAACGGAUUUUGGUGAUGGGAGCAACCGGUU